Molecule: ribosomal RNA, 510 nt
Filed under: Fusarium nygamai
Lineage: Eukaryota; Fungi; Ascomycota; Sordariomycetes; Hypocreales; Nectriaceae
Description: eukaryotic LSU rRNA
Rfam family: 5.8S ribosomal RNA (bases 130-283)
Source: RNAcentral
AACCCCUGUGACAUACCAAUUGUUGCCUCGGCGGAUCAGCCCGCUCCCGGUAAAACGGAACGGCCCGCCAGAGGACCCCUAAACUCUGUUUCUAUAUGUAACUUCUGAGUAAAACCAUAAAUAAAUCAAAACUUUCAACAACGGAUCUCUUGGUUCUGGCAUCGAUGAAGAACGCAGCAAAAUGCGAUAAGUAAUGUGAAUUGCAGAAUUCAGUGAAUCAUCGAAUCUUUGAACGCACAUUGCGCCCGCCAGUAUUCUGGCGGGCAUGCCUGUUCGAGCGUCAUUUCAACCCUCAAGCCCCCGGGUUUGGUGUUGGGGAUCGGCGAGCCUCACGGCAAGCCGGCCCCGAAAUACAGUGGCGGUCUCGCUGCAGCUUCCAUUGCGUAGUAGUAAAACCCUCGCAACUGGUACGCGGCGCGGCCAAGCCGUUAAACCCCCAACUUCUGAAUGUUGACCUCGGAUCAGGUAGGAAUACCCGCUGAACUUAAGCAUAUCAAUAAGGCGGAGGAA